This 440-nucleotide ribosomal RNA is filed under the name uncultured bacterium. RNAcentral's name for it is "partial 16S ribosomal RNA". It matches the Rfam family "Bacterial small subunit ribosomal RNA", at positions 338 to 795 of the family's 1533-position model. The record is from RNAcentral.
CCUACGGGAGACAGCAGUAGGGAAUAUUGCUCAAUGGGGGAAACCCUGAAGCAGCAACGCCGCGUGGAGGAUGAAGGUUUUCGGAUUGUAAACUCCUUUUGUUAGAGAAGAUAAUGACGGUAUCUAACGAAUAAGCACCGGCUAACUCCGUGCCAGCCGCCGCGGUAAUACGGAGGGUGCAAGCGUUACUCGGAAUCACUGGGCGUAAGGAGCGCGUAGGCGGGAUAGAAAGUCAGAUGUGAAAUCCUAUGGCUUAACCAUAGAACUGCAUUUGAAACUGUUAUUCUAGAGUAUGGGAGAGGUAGGUGGAAUUCUUGGUGUAGGGGUAAAAUCCGUAGAGAUCAAGAGGAAUACUCAUUGCGAAGGCGACCUGCUAGAACAUAACUGACGCUGAUGCGCGAAAGCGUGGGGAGCAAACAGGAUUAGAUACCCGGGUAGUC